Molecule: long non-coding RNA, 965 nt
Organism: Solanum pennellii
Lineage: Eukaryota; Viridiplantae; Streptophyta; Magnoliopsida; Solanales; Solanaceae
Exons: 3
Source: RefSeq, a predicted model, not a curated record
CUGAGAGGCCUAUGAGAAUGUCAAAAUCAUAGCAGAAUUAUGUUUAAUGCGCCCUUGCUGAUAAUAACGAAUUGCCAACCAAUUUGUCCCACUGAUUUAACUUCUGAGACACAUGUUAGUCAGAGUAGGUAUCAUGAAAAUGGCCAACGAGGGAUCUUCUUUGUCACAUUUGGAAGAUCGUUACUGCAUCUUUUGAUUGGUCCAACUUCUCAUUUUUGUAAUUGCGACUAGAGAUCAACUUUAUUAGACUUUUGCAUGUAAUGGUGUCCUAGUAUUGGGACCCUUCACCUAAUAUCAUGCAUCUAUUUGACUGUUCAUGGAGACCUUGUCACUUCCAUGAUUGUGGAUAGUCAGAAGUGGCUAACCACAUGAGAGGGCAUUUUCAAGAUUGUUUUGAUGACCCUACACUUUAAUUAAGUCUGUACUAUUUCCAUUUCUACUCCUUCACUUUGGAGACCAAUGCUAUUGGAGUCCCAUAUAUUCUUCUGUGUCUGCAGCACACCAUGUUUUUUGGUAUGGCAUGUUUACACCUGAUUCCUUGAGCCGAGGGUCUAUCAGAAACAAACUCUCUACCUAUGAGGUAAGGAUAUAAAAAGGACAAUCUGUUGGACAAAGCAUUUUACAUUCAUGGUCCGGAGAAGGGCCGUACCUCUAUGGGUUUGAUGCAGAUGCUUCCAGGGCUCGAAUUCAUAACUUGUCUACUUGUUGGCCAUUGUGUGUAAAUGGAAACAUGCAUGCAUUAUGCAUACAUAUAAAAUCUAUAUGACUCAGCUUAAAUGUUUUUUAUUCUUUUUUGGCGUGAAGUCAAACACUCGAAAUCCUUUUUAUGAUUAUUAAGAGCCUUGAUUAUUCACGUAAUUAAGAUUGCAUCAAAGUUAUAUUACUGUAUAAUUCACUCCAAACAAAAAAAAGGGCAGUUAGUCAUGAAUUUUGUCGUUAAUUUGUAGCUGAAUUGUUCGUAACUA